ACAUACCUAUGUUGCUUCGGCGGGCCGUCCCGCGGCGCGCCCACGUGGCGUGACCCGGAACCAAGGCGCCCGCCGGGGACCCAAACUCUUGCCUUUUUAGUGUCUCUUCUGAGUGGCAUAAGCAAAAAAUAAACAAAACUUUCAGCAACGGAUCUCUUGGUUCUGGCAUCGAUGAAGAACGCAGCGAAAUGCGAUAAGUAAUGUGAAUUGCAGAAUUCAGUGAAUCAUCGAAUCUUUGAACGCACAUUGCGCCCGCCAGUAUUCUGGCGGGCAUGCCUGUCUGAGCGUCAUUUCAACCCUCAGCCCCCGCUCGCGGGGCGCUGGCGUUGGGGAUCGGCCGUCCUCCGCGGCGGCCGGCCCCGAAACACAGUGGCGGUCUCCUGCAGACUCCCCUGCGUAGUAGCACUACCUCGCAGAAGGGACGAGCGGGCUGGCCACGCCGUAAAACCCCCAACUUCUCAAGGUUGACCUCAGAUCAGGUAGGAAUACCCGCUGAACUUAAGCAUAUCAAU
Molecule: ribosomal RNA, 512 nt
Filed under: Emericellopsis sp. OY1407
Lineage: Eukaryota; Fungi; Ascomycota; Sordariomycetes; Hypocreales; Bionectriaceae
Description: eukaryotic LSU rRNA
Rfam family: 5.8S ribosomal RNA (bases 137-290)
Source: RNAcentral